Molecule: ribosomal RNA, 711 nt
Filed under: uncultured archaeon
Lineage: Archaea
Description: bacterial SSU rRNA
Rfam family: Archaeal small subunit ribosomal RNA
Source: RNAcentral
AGGUAACCUACCCUCAGGACUGAGAUAACCCCGGGAAACUGGGGCUAAUAUUAGAUAGAUAAAAGAUACUGGAAUGUUCUUUUAUCCAAAGCUUUUGCGCCUGAGGAUGGGCCUGCGUCCGAUUAGGUUGUUGGUGGGGUAAUGGCCCACCAAGCCUACGAUCGGUACGGGCAGUGGGAGCUGAAGCCCGGAGUUGGGGACUGAGACAAGGCCCCAGGCCCUACGGGGCGCAGCAGGCGCGAAACCUCUGCAAUGCGGGAAACCGUGACAGGGGGAUCCCAAGUGCUCAUGCAUUGCAUGGGCUGUUCUUUGGUCUAAGUAACCAGAGGAGUAAGGGCUGGGCAAGACCGGUGCCAGCCGCCGCGGUAAUACCGGCAGCUCAAGUGGUAGCCGCGAUUAUUGGGCCUAAAACGUUCGUAGCCGGAUAAGUAAGUCUUUGGUUAAAUCCUGCGACUUAACCGUGGGAAAUCUAGAGAUACUGCUUGUCUUGAGACCGGGAGAGGUUGGAGGUACUCCUAGGGUAGGGGUGAAAUCCUGUAAUCCUAGGGGGACCACCUGUGGCGAAGGCGUCCAACUGGAACGGGUCUGACGGUGAGGGACGAAACCUAGGGGAGCGAGCCGGAUUAGAUACCCGGGUAGUCCUAGGCGUAAUGAUGCGAGUUAAGUGUGGGGGCAUCUACGAGAUGGCCCUGUGCUGUAGGGUAGCCGUUA